GUCCAGACUCCUACGGGAGGCAGCAGUGGGGAAUAUUGCACAAUGGGGGGAACCCUGAUGCAGCGACGCCGCGUGGGUGAAGGAGCGCCUCGGUGCGUAAAGCCCUAUCGGCAGGGAAGAAACAGACGGUACCUGACUAAGAAGCCCCGGCUAACUACGUGCCAGCAGCCGCGGUAAUACGUAGGGGGCAAGCGUUAUCCGGAUUCACUGGGUGUAAAGGGAGCGUAGACGGCGACGCAAGUCUGGAGUGAAAGCCCGGGGCCCAACCCCGGGACUGCUCUGGAAACUGCGGCGCUGGAGUACGGGAGGGGCAGGCGGAAUUCCUGGUGUAGCGGUGAAAUGCGUAGAUAUCAGGAGGAACACCGGCGGCGAAGGCGGCCUGCUGGACCGUGACUGACGUUGAGGCUCGAGAGCGUGGGGAGCAAACAGGAUUAGAUACCCCAGUA
Molecule: ribosomal RNA, 446 nt
Filed under: uncultured bacterium
Lineage: Bacteria
Description: partial 16S ribosomal RNA
Rfam family: Bacterial small subunit ribosomal RNA
Source: RNAcentral